GUGCGAUCUCGGCUCACUGCACGCUCUGCCUCCCGGGUUCAUGCCAUUCUCCUGCCUCAGCCUCCUGAGUAGCUGGGACUAUAGGUGCCCGCCACCAUGCCUCGCUAAUUUUUUGUAUUUUUAGUAGAAACGGGGUUUCACCGUGUUAGCCAGGAUGGUCUUGAUCUCAUGACCUCGUGAUCCACCCUCCUCGGCUUCCCAAAGUGCUGGGAUUGCAGGCGUGAACCACCACGCCCGGCCGGCUUUACUUCUAAUCCUCCACUUCUUGGUCUAUUUGAACCAUCACAAGUAUUUUGGGACCGAUAACAAACCCCUUUUAUGCUAAUUUAAUUCUUGACUUGGGUAAUAGGUGCACCUGGAUAAUUUAUAAAGCUGUCCAUAGAUCUAAGUUUAGUGGUACAGAUACUACUGGGCAGGAGAAAAAGCACAAGUUAAAAUAUUUCUACAGUCAGCUCUUAAUAUUCCCACAUCUUGUUUGCAAAAUUUUAUGGUCACGUUCUGGCUUUUUUACAUGAGGAAAACAAAGUUUUAACAGUUUUCUCUUCUGUCCCCUUCUCCAGAGGAGGUGUGAACCAGAACUGAGGAGGCCAGUUAUAUUUUAGGCUUUUCAGUAGUACGAUUUUGUCCUCUCCCACUGAGGAGGAGGGAAGAAGGGGGAAGCCAGUGGGAGUUCCACACACGUGGUCAGUGCUGUAAGUUCCCGGAUAUCAGUGUCUCUCACAUCAACACAGAAAUAGGGCACUUCUCAACAUUAAUUUUGGAAUUAUUCACCAUUUAAAAAUUGUCACUGCUCUUUUUCAUUACUGUAGAUAACUGAGAGUUAGCUGUUCUAGGAAAAGGCCAUGUUUCAGUUAGUGCUAUGACUUCUUUUUUCGAUUAAGGUUGAAGCAGUGUUCUCUUAGUAGCCUGAACACUUCUCAAAGCGACUUAUCACUAGCGGCUUUAAUAUUGAGCUUCUAUAUCGUUGUGUCCACCUCACUUUUUAAGGCUGUUCAUACCUGGCAAUAUUCACUUACUCUGCUAUUUUUAAAAACUAUUUUAAAGUUUUAAGCACAAUGUUGACUCUUCUGUAAUUUCCUAAAAUUAUAUUGUUUUCCUACAGACAGCUCAACUUUCCUUGAUAUGUAACACUUUAGGAAAAUAACUGCCUUGUAAAAUAAACGUGAUUUUUUUUUUCUUUUAUACCAGAACAAAUCUGCUG
RNAcentral lists this long non-coding RNA (1201 nucleotides) under Homo sapiens (human). RNAcentral describes it as "HSALNT0316789". Lineage: Eukaryota; Metazoa; Chordata; Mammalia; Primates; Hominidae. The record is from RNAcentral.